UGAGGAAUUUUCCGCAAUGGGGGAAACCCUGACGGAGCGACACCGCGUGGGUGAUGAAGUCUUUCGGGACGUAAAACCCUUUCGACAGGAACGAUAAUGACGGUACCUGUAAAAGAAGCACCGGCUAACUACGUGCCAGCAGCCGCGGUAAUACGUAGGGUGCAAGCGUUAUCCGGAAUUAUUGGGCGUAAAGCGUUCGUAGGCGGUAUUAUAAGUCAGUUGUAAAACGCCUCAGCUCAACUGAGGUUUGGGCAAUUGAUACUAUUUUGCUAGAGAGCAGUAGAGGAAAGCGGAACUUCCAGUGUAGCGGUGAAAUGCGUAGAUAUUGGAAGGAACACCAAUGGCGAAGGCAGCUUUCUGGACUGUUUCUGACGCUGAGGAACGAAAGCUAGGGGAGCAAACAGG
Molecule: ribosomal RNA, 405 nt
Filed under: uncultured bacterium
Lineage: Bacteria
Description: bacterial SSU rRNA
Rfam family: Bacterial small subunit ribosomal RNA
Source: RNAcentral